This 253-nucleotide ribosomal RNA is filed under the name uncultured bacterium. RNAcentral describes it as "partial 16S ribosomal RNA". It matches the Rfam family "Bacterial small subunit ribosomal RNA", at positions 524 to 776 of the family's 1533-position model. The record is from RNAcentral.
UACGUAGGUGGCAAGCGUUGUCCGGAUUUAUUGGGUUUAAAGGGUGCGUAGGCGGCUUUGUAAGUCAGUGGUGAAAUAUGGCAGCUCAACUGUCAAGGUGCCAUUGAUACUGCGGAGCUUGAGUACAGAUGAGGUAGGCGGAAUUGACGGUGUAGCGGUGAAAUGCGCAGAUAUCAGGAGGAACACCGAUGGCGAAGGCAGGUCUCUGGGCCGAUACUGACGCUGAGGAGCGAAAGCGUGGGGAGCGAACAGG